Molecule: long non-coding RNA, 613 nt
Organism: Pseudopipra pipra
Lineage: Eukaryota; Metazoa; Chordata; Aves; Passeriformes; Pipridae
Exons: 2
Source: RefSeq, a predicted model, not a curated record
ACACACGGGCAGCGUGUCCUGGGCUCAGCCCGGGGGUCUCCAGGAGCAAUGUGGGGGCUACAGGGGGAUGUGCAGGAUGAGGACUCGCUCUGCCCCUUCAUGCCACGGGCAAUGGCAUGACCUGGGUACCCCAGAGAUGUGUGGAAAGUCACCCAAUGCCACCAGCUGCUCCUUGGCACCAGAUGAGGGUUUUAAAGAAGGCUUUGAAAUCCCCAGGUCUGAGCUCAGCAGAGGCUGUGAGAGCAACUGAGGGGAAUUCCAGCACAAAGAAAGGGGAAGGAGCAGCUGUCCAUCCUUGGGAUCCAGCCCAACCUGCUCUCUGGAGCCCUUUCCAAGGCCAGACUCCUGAUCCUCCUCGAACAUCUUGGAUUAUGAACAGAAACUUGGUUGUUUCUGGGUCUGCUUUGAUGUCCGGGUUCCCUAACGAAGCCCUUUGCAGCAUGAGAAUGAGGAUUGUGUAACGAUUCUCCCAGAGAUAACGGCUCUGCAGGAGCUGCCAGCCGGGAGCGCUGGCACCGAUGGAAUUGGCAACGGAGGAGCCCAGCCUUGGGAUUUUUUUUUUUCCAAGUUUUAGUAUUUAAUAAUAAAGAUUUUGAUUUCUAAUCCCAGAAAA